GACGAACGCUGGCGGCGUGCCUAAUACAUGCAAGUAGAACGCUGAAGAGAGGAGCUUACUCUUCUUGGAUGAGUUGCGAACGGGUGAGUAACGCGUAGGUAACCUGCCUUGUAGCGGGGGAUAACUAUUGGAAACGAUAGCUAAUACCGCAUAACAAUGGAUGACACAUGUCAUUUAUUUGAAAGGGGCAAUUGCUCCACUACAAGAUGGACCUACGUUGUAUUAGCUAGUAGGUGAGGUAAUGGCUCACCUAGGCGACGAUACAUAGCCGACCUGAGAGGGUGAUCGGCCACACUGGGACUGAGACACGGCCCAGACUCCUACGGGAGGCAGCAGUAGGGAAUCUUCGGCAAUGGGGGCAACCCUGACCGAGCAACGCCGCGUGAGUGAAGAAGGUUUUCGGAUCGUAAAGCUCUGUUGUAAGUCAAGAACGGGUGUGAGAGUGGAAAGUUCACACUGUGACGGUAGCUUACCAGAAAGGGACGGCUAACUACGUG
This 497-nucleotide ribosomal RNA is filed under the name uncultured bacterium. RNAcentral describes it as "partial 16S ribosomal RNA". It matches the Rfam family "Bacterial small subunit ribosomal RNA", at positions 28 to 507 of the family's 1533-position model. The record is from RNAcentral.